CGGGGAGUGGCGCAGCCUGGUUAGCGCGCUUGCCUUGGGAGCAAGAGGUCGACGGUUCGAAUCCGUCCUCCCCGA
Molecule: transfer RNA, 75 nt
Filed under: Candidatus Aminicenantes bacterium ADurb.Bin147
Lineage: Bacteria; Candidatus Aminicenantota
Also listed under: 2 other names
Description: tRNA-Pro
Rfam family: tRNA
About the family: Transfer RNA (tRNA) molecules are approximately 80 nucleotides in length. Their secondary structure includes four short double-helical elements and three loops (D, anti-codon, and T loops).
Source: RNAcentral